GAAAUGAGGAGCAUGACUAACAAUUCUCCGAACAUGUUUCAAAAAAGAAGUGUAUUGUAUGCAUAGGCAUAACAGUUCUUUCCUUUGUAAAAGAGAUGUCGUACUUCCAGAAAGACAGAUAUAUCUAUAUAGACAUAGGGAUGUGUGUGUCUAUACAUAUACAUACACAUACAGUUGCAAAUACACAUAUAAAUGUCAUGAAGGAUGCAGUUCGAAAAUAAUCUUAUGUUGCCGGGCACAGUGGCCUCACUCCUGUAAUCUCAGCACUUUGGGAGGGUAAUUUUAGAUUGCUCAUAAGGAAAACGGUAUAGUUCCCUGACACUCGCAUAUAGUCUAAAAUACUGAUUAAAGGGAAAAAAA
Homo sapiens (human) is the source of this 360-nucleotide long non-coding RNA. The record is from Ensembl. NCBI's taxonomy places the organism in Eukaryota, Metazoa, Chordata, Mammalia, Primates, Hominidae.